RNAcentral lists this ribosomal RNA (427 nucleotides) under uncultured bacterium. RNAcentral describes it as "partial 16S ribosomal RNA". It matches the Rfam family "Bacterial small subunit ribosomal RNA", at positions 355 to 774 of the family's 1533-position model. The record is from RNAcentral.
UGGGGAAUAUUGCACAAUGGGCGCAAGCCUGAUGCAGCCAUGCCGCGUGUAUGAAGAAGGCCUUCGGGUUGUAAAGUACUUUCAGCGGGGAGGAAGGUGUUGUGGUUAAUAACCACAGCAAUUGACGUUACCCGCAGAAGAAGCACCGGCUAACUCCGUGCCAGCAGCCGCGGUAAUACGGAGGGUGCAAGCGUUAAUCGGAAUUACUGGGCGUAAAGCGCACGCAGGCGGUCUGUCAAGUCUGAUGUGAAAUCCCCGGGCUCAACCUGGGAACUGCAUCCGAAACUGGCAGGCUUGAGUCUUGUAGAGGGGGGUAGAAUUCCAGGUGUAGCGGUGAAAUGCGUAGAGAUCUGGAGGAAUACCGGUGGCGAAGGCGGCCCCCUGGACAAAGACUGACGCUCAGGUGCGAAAGCGUGGGGAGCAAACA